UACUGAUUCCUCCUCUGGGUCCACAUGCUUUAAAAACCACUGCUCGAGGCUGUGGCUGGUUUGAUUCUUCCCUGUUUGGGCCCUCGUUGCUGUUUCUCGUCAAAGCCAGCCUUCUCUAACCGCACCCCCCCACUCCCCCCCGCCCACGGAUUUGAAGAUGUCUGCUCCCUCUUCUGUCUGGUGAAGCCAUAGUCCUGUUUGAGCUGAGGGAAGCCAAGUCACUGUCACAUGAAAAGCAGCUGGAAGGAGAAGCUUGUCAGAUGAGUACUUGCCUCCCUGGCACUGUCCAAAUGUGCAGGGACCCCCCCAAGCCCCGUGUCUUCCUGAGAAAAAUCCAGAGAGCCUGAGGGAGCACAGUCCAUAAAAACAGCUACUGCCAUGAGAGACUGCAGUCAAGGUAAUUCACCAAAGCAGAUAUUCACCACCUGAGUAUCACUAUUGACAGUUUUAUCAUGACAACUAAUUAUUCAGGAUGUUCUGUAUAUUUGGCUCAUUAUGGGGUAAACAUGGAGACCAGGCAAAAUAAAGUACAUGCAGAAAGCAUGUCUUCUACUAUAAGGGUAUGUGGCCGUAUCCUGAUUCAAGAUUCUGAGGAUGUGGGCUCAACUGUGCCAACAACAAGAUGUGAAAAUGAUGAUUUAAAAAAAAGAAAAUGAUGAUUUACAUGGUAGAGUGUACAGAUUAUCACAAAAAGAAAUCAAAAGA
Felis catus (domestic cat) is the source of this 705-nucleotide long non-coding RNA. RefSeq lists it as uncharacterized. The transcript has 4 exons. Lineage: Eukaryota; Metazoa; Chordata; Mammalia; Carnivora; Felidae. The record is from RefSeq and is a predicted model, not a curated record.